This 819-nucleotide ribosomal RNA is filed under the name uncultured bacterium. Its description in RNAcentral is "bacterial SSU rRNA". It matches the Rfam family "Bacterial small subunit ribosomal RNA", at positions 65 to 862 of the family's 1533-position model. The record is from RNAcentral.
AGCGAGAAGCCCGCAAGGGUGAGUAAAGCGGCGCACGGGUGAGUAACACGUGGGUAAUCUUCCUUGGAGCCCGGAAUAACUCCCCGAAAGGGGUGCUAAUGCCGGAUGAGACCACGGGAUCUCCGGAUCCUGAGGGAAAAGGCGGCCUCUGUACACAAGCUGUCACUCCAAGAUGAGCCCGCGGCCCAUCAGCUAGUUGGCGGGGUAAUGGCCCACCAAGGCAUCGACGGGUAGCUGGUCUGAGAGGACGAUCAGCCACACUGGAACUGAGACACGGUCCAGACUCCUACGGGAGGCAGCAGUGGGGAAUUUUGCGCAAUGGGCGAAAGCCUGACGCAGCAACGCCGCGUGUGUGAUGAAGGUCUUCGGAUCGUAAAGCACUGUCGGGAGGGACGAAUAAGGCGGCGGCUAAUAUCCGCAGCCGAUGACGGUACCUCCAAAGGAAGCACCGGCUAACUCUGUGCCAGCAGCCGCGGUAAUACAGAGGGUGCAAGCGUUGUUCGGAAUUAUUGGGCGUAAAGCGCGUGUAGGCGGCCUUGCAAGUUGGGUGUGAAAGCCCUCGGCUUAACCGAGGAAGUGCGCCCAAAACUACAGGGCUUGAGUACCGGAGAGGGUGGCGGAAUUCCCGGUGUAGAGGUGAAAUUCGUAGAUAUCGGGAGGAACACCAGUGGCGAAGGCGGCCACCUGGACGGAUACUGACGCUGAGACGCGAAAGCGUGGGUAGCAAACAGGAUUAGAUACCCUGGUAGUCCACGCUGUAAACGAUGAGCGCUAGGUGUUGUGGGUGUUGACCCCCGCAGUGCCGCAGCUAACGCAUUA